This is a non-coding RNA of Gorilla gorilla gorilla (western lowland gorilla), 546 nucleotides long. Lineage: Eukaryota; Metazoa; Chordata; Mammalia; Primates; Hominidae. The record is from the annotation of a RefSeq genome assembly.
CGGGCACCAGGCUUCUCGGCUGUGUAGCUCUUUGCCUCCUGGCAGCAGGCUGUUUUCAUGCCAAAGUCACACAGACUCCAGGAUAUUUGGUCAAAGGAAAAGGAAGGAAAACAAAGAUAAUGAACAAGUUCUUCAAGAAACGGAGAUGCACAAGAAGCGAUUCUCACCUCAAUGCCCCAAGAACCCACCCUGCAGCCUGGCAAUCCUGUCCUCGGAACCGGGAGACACCGCACUGUAUCUCUGCGCCAGCAGUCCGUCCACAGCACUGAAAUGUCAGUUCCUGUUAGCACACAAACUUGUCACAGACCCAGUUCAGGAAGCAGGCCUCGUGGUGAGAAUGAGAUGGUCACUAAAGAUUACAAAUUCAGUUGCCAUCAUUUCCCUACAGUGACAAAUACCACCCCAGCUCUUUCUAAGCCUGAGUUCAAAAUCCCAGGAGAAAAAAACAGAUCCGUCAUGAUCCAGCCAUGAACCUUCUCAUAGAGCACUCAGCAGUAGGCAUGUAUGUAUGUAUUUAAAAUCACAUAAACGUUACUUUCCCACUCA